UAAGUCAGCCACGAAUAGGCUAUCCCAACUAACGGCGGGAAAGACUCCACGGAGGGUGUAAGACCCGUGUGGGCGCGUGUCAAAGCUGUGCGGGCUCGGCCUCUAUUCCCUGAGAGUCGCGUUGCUUGAGCAUGCAGCGCUAAGCAGGUCGUAAACUCGAUCUAAGGCUAAAUAUGUCCACAGAACCGAUAGCGAACAAGUACCGUGAGGGAAAGUUGAAAAGCACUCUGGAGAGAGAGUCAAAAGACCGUGAAACCGCUCAGAGUAUAAGCCCAUGGCAGCUUGGAAGGCAUAUCGAGAGCGGGGCAUCGGUCUCCCUUCGCGGGGAGCCGGUGUUACCUUGCCUCUGUUGUGGCUCGUCAUGGUAGGGGGGUCAGGUCCACAUCCCGCCGACGUGUGGGGGGUUCUUGGGUGUGUUGUGGUUUCUUUGUUGGCUUCGGCUGGCAGAGGGGCUCUUCGUGCUCGGUUCCUCUUUAGACACGGACGUUCAGACUCAGAGGCAAGACGCGAUAAACAGCCCACCACGGCACGUUGUGAGGUCACCCACAGGCUCAACUUUCGAUCGUGGGCCUUGACGCCGAGCAAGCACAAUGCGUGUCGCUGAGGUUCCUAACCAGGCAUGAGGGCCAGGAUCGUGGAACGACACGUGCUCAACAGUCAGGUCCGGGCGGAGACAGAGUUCUGGUAUGAUCCUCUUGCGACGAGCCGCCUUCUGGCCGAUAUCCGAUGCUCAGGUCUCCCGCAUGUGCCGCGGGAGAUCGACACCUGACGGUCUGGA
This 778-nucleotide ribosomal RNA is filed under the name Gammarus stojicevici. RNAcentral's name for it is "eukaryotic LSU rRNA". It matches the Rfam family "Eukaryotic large subunit ribosomal RNA", at positions 157 to 605 of the family's 3401-position model. Lineage: Eukaryota; Metazoa; Arthropoda; Malacostraca; Amphipoda; Gammaridae. The record is from RNAcentral.